Molecule: unclassified non-coding RNA, 141 nt
Filed under: uncultured fungus
Lineage: Eukaryota; Fungi
Description: sequence contains ITS1, 5.8S rRNA gene
Source: RNAcentral
CAAAUCCAACGUCUCGCUCCGAGACCCCGUCGAAACACGCCGCGUGUGUGUGUCGGGAGGGGGGGCGCUGCCCCGCCGCCCCGGCACACGACCGACCAACCCAGAAACCGUUGAUCAUCUGUAUGCUUCUUAACAAAGAAA